GAGAGGGAGAGGAGAGGUUGAUGUUGUGUGUGUGAGUGUGUUUCUGUGUUAUGCGUGUGUGUGUGUGAGAGCCGAGGAUGGCGCGGCUUCUCGCCGCUGCUCCUCCGGCGAGCGUCCGCGGCGGACAAGAUCGUCCGAGAGAGAGAGAGAGAGAAUAGAGAGGGAGAGAGUGAAUUGGGAUGGGGGCGCAGCGUGAAGAUUAGGAAGGUGGAGAAAUGGGAUGUUGGGCUUUAGGUUUGGGUUAGGGGUUGGGCCGAUUUAUUUUGAGUGUUGGGCCAAGUGUUGGGCCGAAUUUUGUUUUAUUUUAUUUAUCAGUUGGGCCGGUUUUUAUUAAAUCUGUUGGGCCUUUAUUAAUCUAUUUAAUUGGGCUGUGCAGUUUUCUUUAUUUAAAAUGGACUACACUAUUUAAUUAAUUAGACUUAUUAAGUUUGAUUAAUUAUUUUAAUUUGCAUAAUAAUAUUAU
RNAcentral lists this long non-coding RNA (463 nucleotides) under Salvia miltiorrhiza (redroot sage). RNAcentral describes it as "long non-coding RNA (SMIL_LNC010161)". The record is from RNAcentral. Lineage: Eukaryota; Viridiplantae; Streptophyta; Magnoliopsida; Lamiales; Lamiaceae.